Molecule: unclassified non-coding RNA, 601 nt
Filed under: Cortinarius sp. 10 CG-2012
Lineage: Eukaryota; Fungi; Basidiomycota; Agaricomycetes; Agaricales; Cortinariaceae
Description: sequence contains ITS1, 5.8S rRNA gene, ITS2
Rfam family: 5.8S ribosomal RNA (bases 239-392)
Source: RNAcentral
UAUUGAAAUAAACCUGAUGAGUUGCUGCUGGUUUUUUUAACAUGUGCACACUUGUCAUCUUUAUAUCUCCACCUGUGCAUCUUUUGUAGACCUGGACAAGUUUCUUAAUGCUACUUAGCAUUGAGGUUUUGGGAUUGACUUUUGUCUUUCCUUACAUUUCUAGGUCUAUGUUUAUUCAUAUACCCUAUUGUAUGUUAUAGAAUGUAAUAAUUAGGCCUUUGUGCCUAUAACACUAUACAACUUUCAGCAACGGAUCUCUUGGCUCUCGCAUCGAUGAAGAACGCAGCGAAAUGCGAUAAGUAAUGUGAAUUGCAGAAUUCAGUGAAUCAUCGAAUCUUUGAACGCACCUUGCGCUCCUUGGUAUUCCGAGGAGCAUGCCUGUUUGAGUGUCAUUAAUAUAUCAACCUCUUCAGCCUUUGCUUGUUGAGUGCUUGGAUGUGGGGGCCUUUUUGCUGGUCUUUUAAAAAGGUCAGCUCCCCUAAAAUGCAUUAGCGGAACAAUUUGUUAAUCGUUUAUUGGUGUGAUAAUUAUCUACGCUAUUGACGUGAAGCAGUUCAGCUUCUAAUGGUCCAUUUAACUUGGACAAUUUUUCAUUAAUGUG